RNAcentral lists this ribosomal RNA (195 nucleotides) under uncultured bacterium. RNAcentral describes it as "partial 16S rRNA". It matches the Rfam family "Bacterial small subunit ribosomal RNA", at positions 338 to 525 of the family's 1533-position model. The record is from RNAcentral.
CCUACGGGAGGCAGCAGUGGGGAAUUUUGGACAAUGGGCGCAAGCCUGAUCCAGCCAUGCCGCGUGCAGGAAGAAGGCCUUCGGGUUGUAAACUGCUUUUGUACGGAGCGAAAAGGCCCCUACUAACACUGGGGGCCCAUGACGGUACCGUAAGAAUAAGCACCGGCUAACUACGUGCCAGCAGCCGCGGUAAUA